Molecule: RNA transcript, 10339 nt
Organism: Pongo pygmaeus (Bornean orangutan)
Lineage: Eukaryota; Metazoa; Chordata; Mammalia; Primates; Hominidae
Gene: RAB3GAP1
Gene name: RAB3 GTPase activating protein catalytic subunit 1
Exons: 26
Source: RefSeq, a predicted model, not a curated record
GAAAUUUUCAAGUUUUAUUAAACCAGCUAGGGCGGAGUUUUAUUAACCAGCUGAGGGCGGACUAAAGACUUCCAGACCCGGGCGAAGAAGCAGCACUCCUACUUACCAGGGCAAGACUCAUGAACAGGGGGCGGGGGCUCCGGGGGCGGGGACGCGCCCCGAUCUCUUCCGCUCUUCUUCCCGGCAGCCUUAGCGCCCGGCCCGGAGCUGCUCAAGAUGGCUGCCGACAAUGAGCCCGAAUCCGAGGUAUUUGAGAUCACGGACUUCACCACUGCCUCGGAAUGGGAAAGGUUUAUUUCCAAAGUUGAAGAAGUCUUGAAUGACUGGAAACUGAUUGGAAACUCUUUGGGAAAGCCACUUGAAAAGGGUAUAUUUACUUCUGGCACAUGGGAAGAGAAAUCAGAUGAAAUUUCCUUUGCUGACUUCAAGUUCUCAGUCACUCAUCAUUAUCUUGUACAAGAGUCCACUGAUAAAGAAGGAAAGGAGUUAUUAGAGGAUGUUAUUCCACAGUCUAUGCAAGAUUUGCUGUGUAUGAAUAAUGACUUUCCUCCAAGAGCACAUUGCCUGGUAAGAUGGUAUGGGCUACGUGAGUUCGUGGUGAUUGCCCCUGCUGCACACAGUGACGCUGUUCUCAGCGAAUCUAAGUGCAACCUUCUUCUGAGUUCUGUUUCUAUUGCCUUGGGAAACACUGGCUGUCAGGUGCCACUCUUUGUGCAAAUUCACCACAAAUGGCGAAGAAUGUAUGUAGGAGAAUGUCAAGGUCCUGGUGUACGAACUGACUUCGAAAUGGUUCAUCUUAGAAAAGUGCCAAAUCAGUACACUCACUUAUCAGGUCUGCUGGAUAUCUUCAAAUCAAAGAUUGGAUGUCCUUUAACUCCAUUGCCUCCAGUUAGUAUUGCUAUUCGAUUUACCUAUGUACUUCAAGAUUGGCAGCAGUAUUUUUGGCCUCAGCAACCUCCAGACAUAGAUGCCCUUGUAGGAGGAGAAGUUGGAGGCUUGGAGUUUGGCAAGUUACCAUUUGGUGCCUGCGAAGAUCCUAUUAGUGAACUCCAUUUAGCUACUACAUGGCCUCAUCUGACCGAAGGGAUCAUUGUGGAUAAUGAUGUUUAUUCUGAUUUGGAUCCUAUUCAAGCUCCACAUUGGUCUGUUAGAGUUCGAAAAGCUGAGAAUCCUCAGUGUUUGCUAGGUGAUUUUGUCACUGAGUUUUUUAAGAUUUGCCGUCGAAAGGAGUCAACUGAUGAGAUUCUUGGACGAUCUGCAUUUGAGGAAGAAGGCAAAGAAACUGCUGAUAUAACUCAUGCUUUGUCAAAAUUGACAGAGCCGGCAUCAGUUCCAAUUCAUAAAUUAUCAGUUUCAAAUAUGGUACACACUGCAAAGAAGAAAAUCCGAAAACACAGAGGUGUAGAGGAGUCACCGCUAAAUAAUGAUGUUCUCAAUACUAUUCUCCUGUUCUUAUUCCCUGAUGCUGUUUCUGAGAAAUCAUUAGAUGGAACUGCUUCAACAGAUAAUAAUAAUCCUCCAUCAGAGAGUGAAGACUAUAAUCUCUACAAUCAGUUCAAGUCUGCACCAUCUGACAGUUUAACAUACAAAUUGGCUUUGUGUCUCUGUAUGAUCAAUUUUUACCAUGGAGGGUUAAAAGGAGUGGCACACCUCUGGCAGGAAUUUGUUCUUGAAAUGCGUUUCCGAUGGGAAAACAACUUUCUGAUUCCAGGAUUAGCAAGUGGACCCCCAGAUCUGAGGUGUUGUUUACUGCAUCAGAAACUACAGAUGUUAAAUUGUUGUAUUGAAAGAAAGAAGGCACGUGAUGAGGGGAAAAAGACAAGUGCUUCAGAUGUCACUAAUAUAUAUCCAGGGGAUGCUGGAAAAGCAGGAGACCAGUUGGUGCCAGAUAAUCUAAAAGAAACAGAUAAGGAAAAGGGAGAGGUAGGAAAAUCUUGGGAUUCCUGGAGUGACAGCGAAGAAGAAUUUUUUGAAUGCCUAAGUGAUACUGAAGAACUUAAAGGAAAUGGACAAGAGAGUGGCAAGAAAGGAGGACCUAAGGAGAUGGCAAGUUUAAGGCCAGAAGGACGGCUCUAUCAGCAUGGGAAACUUACACUGCUGCAUAAUGGAGAACCUCUCUACAUUCCAGUAACCCAGGAACCAGCACCUAUGACAGAAGAUCUGCUAGAAGAGCAGUCUGAAGUUUUAGCUAAAUUAGGUACAUCGGCAGAAGGGGCUCACCUCCGAGCACGCAUGCAGAGUGCCUGUCUGCUCUCAGAUAUGGAGUCUUUUAAGGCAGCUAAUCCAGGUUGCUCCCUGGAAGAUUUUGUGAGGUGGUAUUCACCCCGGGAUUAUAUUGAAGAGGAGGUGAUUGAUGAAAAGGGCAACGUGGUGCUGAAAGGAGAACUGAGUGCCCGGAUGAAGAUUCCAAGCAAUAUGUGGGUAGAAGCCUGGGAAACAGCUAAGCCAAUUCCUGCUAGAAGGCAAAGGAGACUCUUCGAUGAUACACGGGAAGCAGAAAAGGUGCUGCACUAUCUGGCAAUCCAGAAACCUGCAGACCUUGCUCGGCACCUGUUACCUUGUGUGAUUCAUGCAGCUGUACUCAAGGUAAAAGAAGAAGAAAGUCUGGAAAACAUUUCUUCAGUUAAGAAGAUCAUAAAGCAGAUAAUAUCCCAUUCCAGUAAAGUUUUGCACUUCCCCAAUCCAGAAGACAAGAAAUUGGAAGAAAUCAUUCACCAGAUUACUAAUGUGGAAGCUCUCAUUGCCAGAGCUCGGUCAUUAAAAGCCAAGUUUGGAACUGAGAAAUGUGAACAGGAGGAGGAAAAGGAAGAUCUUGAAAGGUUUGUGAGUUGCCUGCUGGAGCAGCCUGAAGUGUUAGUCACCGGUGCAGGAAGAGGACAUGCUGGCAGGAUCAUUCACAAGCUGUUUGUGAAUGCCCAGAGGGCUGCAGCCAUGACUCCACCAGAGGAGGAAUUGAAGAGAAUGGGCUCCCCAGAGGAAAGAAGGCAGAACUCCGUGUCAGACUUCCCACCCCCUGCUGGCCGAGAAUUCAUUUUGCGCACCACUGUGCCGCGCCCUGCUCCCUACUCCAAAGCUCUGCCUCAGCGGAUGUACAGUGUUCUCACCAAAGAGGACUUUAGACUUGCAGCUCCCCAGGUGUGUCCUGGUAGACAGCUGCUCCCAGGAGCUGGCAUAGAAGCAAACCUGCAGGAAAAGCCGACCCACUUCAGGCAUGUGGAAGCUGCUGGCAGGAGCCCAGCAAGGAUCCAGCUGGGUUGUAAUGGAAACAAUGCAACCAAAAAUCCUUGAGUGAGCCGGGAUAGAUGUGGCCUCAUCACUGAAGAUUUCAUCUGAGACCUCUGCAAAUACCCAAAUUGUAUAUGCUCUUAGAGCAGAUCAUUUUCUCACAGGAUGUCUAACCAAAGGAAAGGAAAUCAGCAUAUCAAAGAGAUAUCUGCACUCCCAUGUUGAUUGCAGCACUGUUCACAACAGCCAAGAUGUGGAAUCAACCAAAGUGUCCACUGGCAGAUGAAUGGAUUAAAAAAAAUGUGGUCCAUGGCCCGGCAUGGUGGUUCAUACCUGUAAUCCCAGCACUUUCGGAAGCCAAGGUGGGUGGAUCACUUGAGGUCAAGAGUUCGAGACCAUGUUGGCCAACAUACUGAAACCUCACCUCUACUAAAAAUACAAAAAUUAGCUCAGCGUGUUGGCACAUGCCUGUAAUCCCAGCUACUCAGGAGGCUGAGGUAUGAGAAUCCUUUGAACCCGGGGGACAGAGGUUGCAGUGAGCCGAGAUUGCACCACAGCACUCCACACCUGGGUGACAGAGGCAGACUCUGUCUCAAAAAAAAAAAAACACACACACACACACACACACACACACACACAAAAUAUAUAUAUAUAUAUGGUGCACAUACACAAUGGAAUACUAUUCAGUGAUUUAAAAAAAAGAAUGAAAUCCUGUGAUUUGCGACAACAUAGAUGAACAGAGAGGAUAUAAUGUUAAGUGAAUAAGCCAGGCACAGAAGAAUGAAUACUGCAUGUUCUCACUCAUAUCAGGUAUCUGAAGAAGUUGGUAUCGUAGAAGUAGAGAGUAGAAUAGUAGUUACCAGAGGCUGGGGAGGUGGUGGGGGGUAGCAGGAAAUGGGAAGAAGUUGGUUAAUGGGUACAAAGUUACAGUUAAAUAUGAGAAAUAAGUUCUGGUGUUUUAUUGCACAGUAGGGUGACUAUAGUUAACAAUACUGUAUUGUUUAUUUCAAAAUAGCUAGAAGAGAAUAUUUUGAAUAUUCUUACCACAAAGAAAUGACAAGUGUUUUAUUGGGGGAACCCGCCCCCAGUAUUUCAACAUAGGUUCUUUCUAUUUUCCAUAAGUGUCAGCCGGCUGAGAAAUAAAGAGAAAGAGUACAAAGAGAGGAAUUCUACAGCUGGGCCGCCAGGGAUGACAUCACGUAUCAGUAGGACCGUGAUGCCCACCUGAGUCUCAGACCAGCAAGUUUUUAUUAAGGGUUUCAAAAGGAGAGGGGGUGUAAGAACAGGGAGUAGGUACAAAGAUCACAUGCUUCCAAGGGCAAAAAGCAGAACUACUAAUAAGGGUCUAACAAAGAUCACAAGACAGAGGGCAAAAGCAGAACUACCGAUAAGGGUCUAUGUUCAGCGGUGCACGUAUUGUCUUGAUAAACAUCUUAAAUAACUGAAAACAGGGUUCAAGAGCAGAGAACCGGUCUGACCACAGAUUUACCAGGGUGGAGUUUUUCCCCACCCUAGUAAGCCUGAGGGUACUGCAGGAGACCAGGGAGUAUCUCACUCCUUAUCUCAACUGCGUAAGACAGACAUUCCCAGAGUGGCCGUUUAUAGACCUCCCCCCAGGAAUGCAUUCCUUUCCCAGGGUAUUAAAAUUAAUAUUCCUUGCCAGGAAAAGAAUUUAGUGAUAUCUCUCCUACUUCCACAUCCGUUUAUAGGCUCUCCGCAAGAAGAAAAAUAUGGCUCUUUUUGCCCGACCCCACAGGCAGUCAGACCUUAUGGUCGUCUUCCCUUGUUCCCUAAAAAUUGCUGUUAUUCUGUUCUUUUUCAAGGUGCACUGAUUUCAUAUUGUUCAAACACAUGUUUUACAAUCAAUUUGUACAGUUAACACAAUUAUCACAGCGGUCCUGAGGUGACGUACAUCCUCAGCUUACGAAGAUAACAGUAUUAAGAGAUUAAGUAAAGACAGGCAUAAGAAAUUAUAAAAGUAUUAUUUGGGAAAUGAUAAAUGUCCAUGAAAUCUUCACAAUUUAUGUUCCUCUGCCGCGGCUCCAGCCGUUCCCUCCAUUCAGGGUCCCUGACUUCCUGCAACAGUGUUUGAGGUGAUGGAUAUGCUAAUUACCCUGAUUUCAUUAUUACACAAUCUAUACUUGUAUGAAAACACUGCACCCCAUAAAUAUGUACAAUUCUUAUGGUCAAUUAAAAGCAAAAGUUAAGGCUGCACAUGGUGGCUCACACCUAUAAUCCCAGCCCUUUGGGAGGCUGAGGUAGGAGAAUCACUUGAGCCCAGGAGUUCAAGACCAGCCUGGGCAACAUAGCGAGACCCCAUCUCUAUAAAAAUAAAAUAGUAAAAAUGGCUGGGUACAGUGGCUCACGUCUGUAACCCUAGCACUUUGGGAGGCCGAAGCAUGUAGAUUUCCUGAGCCCAGGAGUUUGAGUCCAGUCUAGGCAACAUGGCAAAACCCUGUCUCUACAAAAAAUACAAAAUUAGCUGGAUGUGGUGAUGCAUGCUUAUAGUCGUCCCAGCUACUUGGGAGGCUGAGCCUGGGAGGUUGAGGCUCAGUGAGAUGUGAUCAUGCCACUGCACUCCAGCUGGGGCGACAGAGUGAAACCCGUCUCAAAAAAAAAAAAAGGAAAAAUUAGCCAGGCUUGGUGGCAUGUGCCUGCAGUCCCAGCUACUUGAGAGGCUGAGGCUGCAGUGAGCUGAGAUUGCACUGCACUCCAGCCUGGCUGACAGAGGUAGACCCUGUCCCAAAAAACAGAAGUUAAAAAAAAAAAAAAAAAAAAAAAAAAGAGCAUGGCACUGACUUAAAGUAGUCCAAUAGAACAGAUAGAGAGUUCAGAAGCAGACUGUCCAUAUAAGGAAACUUGAGUUUUGAUGGAGACAGCAAGGCAGAUCAGUGGGAAAAGAUGGAAUAGUCAAUAAACCUCUCAUACAAGGAUGAGAGGUUAUCCUUGUAUCCCAUGAGGAAAAAUAAAAUUGGAUCCCUACAUCACUCCCUACUCAAAAAAUCAAUUUCUGGUAGACUAAAUACUGUUCUGUAAAACACAAAUACAUAAAACAUUUAGAAUACUAUGUGGGAAAGUAGCUUUAAAAUUCCAAAGCAGGGAGGUCUUCUUAAAUAAACACAAAAGAAUAUGAACCAUAAAGGAAAUACAAAGAAUAUGAACCACAAAGGAAAAGAUGGAUAUACUUGACUCCAUUAAUAUUAAGGACUUCUGUUUAACAAAGAAAGAACAGAAUGAGGCCGGCUGUCGUGGCUCACGCCUGUAAUCCCAGCACUUUGGGAGGCCAAGGUGGGCGGAUCACAAGGUCAGGAGAUCGAGACCAUCCUGGCUAACACAGUGAAACCCUGACCCUACUAAAAAUACAAAAAACUAGCUGGGCGUGGUGGUGGGCACCUAUAGUCCCAGCUACUCGGGAGGCUGAGGCAGGAGAAUGGCGUGAACCCGGGAGGCGGAGCUUGCAGUGAGCCGAGAUCGUGCCGCUGCACUCCAACCUGGGCAACAGAGCAAGACUCCAUAUCAAAAAAGAAAAAGAAAAUACAGAAUGAGAAAAGACAAGCUAGGACUAGGAAAAUACAGAAUGAGAAAAGACAAGCUACAGACUAGGAAAAUAAAUUUGUACCUAGACAACCAAUAUGGACUAUUAUGCAGAACAGACUUUACAAUCCCUCCCUUGAAUCAGUAAGAAAAGACUAAAAACUUAAUAGCAAAAUACACACACACACAAAGAUAGGAAGAGGUCUCUCAUAGAAGAGGAAAGAGGAAUGAGCAAAACACACAGGAUAAGUUGUUCAACCUCAUUAGUAUUUUGAAAAAUGCAAAUCAAAAUCAUGAGACACCAUUUCACACAUACCAGAUGGGCACACAUUUUGAAGUUAGACAAUAUUCAAAUGUUGACAAGGAUUCUGAGCAACAGGAACUCAUAUUCAUUGUUGGCAAGACUGCAAAUUGGUGCAACUUUGGAAAAUAAUUUUGCAUUACCUAAUAAGGUUUGAACACAUACAUACCCUACAAUGCAGUAGCUCUGCUCCUGGGAUGUACUUUAGGGCAGUGGUCCCUAGACCAGCAGCAUCAGUAUCACGGGAACUUGUUAGAAAUGCAAAUUCUCCAGCCACUAGACCUACUGAGGCAGAAACUCUAGGGCUGGGGCCCAGCAACCUGGGUUUCAGUAAGCCCUUCAGGUGACUCUGAUGCACAUCCAAGUGUGAGAAGUGUUUGCACACGGCACCAGGAGAGAUGAACAGCAAUGUUCACAGCAGCACUUUAGAGAAACCACAAACUGGAAACUCUGAUGUCCUUCAACAGUGGAAAGGAUAAUUAUUUUAUAUCAGAAUAGUUAAAAGAAAUGAACUACUACUUUACACUUAUUGGCAUGGUGAGUAUCACAAAGGUAAAACCGAGUGGCAGAAGCAUGUCACAGGGACAUAUAUGCAGUAUAAUUUCAUUAUCUAAAGGUCAAAAAUGAGUAACUCAACAAUAACCUGUUUAGGAAUAUGCACAUAUGUGAUACUCCCAUAAAGAAAAGCAAAGGGCUGCUUUCCACACAAUUCAGGAGAGUGGGUCUGUUUAUGGGGAAGGAAAGGGAACGUACUUGGGCAGCAGGGGACCAGGUUUAAAGGCAGAGGGAAGACUCUAUUUUUAAGCUAGGUGGGAGGUACACUGCUGUUCAUUUUACUAUUUUAAAAAAAUAGUUUAUAUUUAGGCCGGGCACAGUGGCUCACCCUGUAAUCCUAGCACUUUGGGAGGCCAAGGCAGGUGGAUCAUUUGAGGUCAUGAGUUUGAGACCAGCCUGGCCAACAUGGUGAAACCUUGUCUCUACUAAAAAUACAAAAAUUAGCCAGGCAUGGUGGUGCGCACCUGUAAUCCCAGCUACUCAGGAGGCUGAGGCAGGAGAAUCACUUGAGCCUGGGAGGCAGAGGUUGUAGUGAGCUGACAUCACACCACUGCACUCCAGCCUGGGUGAGAGUGAGACUCUGUCUCAAAAAUAAAUAAAUGAAAUAAAAAUAGUAUAUAUUUCUAACCUAAUGCGGGACUGAAAGUUUCCAUCACAGAAGAUGCAGGAUUGCAUUAUCAAGUGGUCGAUGCAAAGGCUGCAGCCAGCCCGCCGAGCCUGAGGCCUGAGUCUGAGGGUCCAGCUGGGAGCCCCCAGCUGGUCUGGCUUAUGCAGACUGGCGGCAGCUUGCAUAGUGAUGGGGACAAUUUUGGAUCUUACGGCCGGGUUUGAAGGGAUGAGUUAGGGAGGAUGAGGGAAUGCGGAGUCCCACUUCUGCCUCUCCACCCCGGGCCUCAGCGGGGCCUUCUCUUUUGCCACCUGAACUCGCCAGCCCCUCCGUGUCUCCUCUUCUUCCAGUAGGAUAAGAGCUUUAGCCAGGGCCUGAGUGGAGGACGGAAGCCAAUUUCCAAUUUAUGAGAACCUUUAUAACAGUGCAGUUUUAUUGUGUAUGUCUUACGUAUAUCUUUAUGUGUGUGGGUACACACACACAACAAAGAAAGGAUAUUUAUGGUUGUGAGUGGUAAUUUUUAAAAACUAUUUCAUUUACAUGAGCAUUUAGGAAAGUCAUCUAUCUUUAUAAAAAAAUCCUUUUAACAAAUAUUUCCCUAAAAUAAUGACAGAUGGUCAGUAAGUCAUUCAGUCACAUGACAGAGAUUCAGCCUCUCAGUGAUCAAACCCAGCACUGGUGGCUGUGUGGAAGGGGGUUUAGGGAAGGCCAGGCUGGGUGUGGCCAUGGGAAGAUGCCACCUGGGGCUGCUGCUCUCCGGGUACAUGGAUGCUACUGUUUCUGGGAGUCACAGGUAGGCGAGUGCUGCAGAAACACGAUCGUGUUCAUCACUCGUUUCUCACAGCGCCUGUUGGCCUGCAGUAGUGGAAAGGAUAAAUUUCCUCUAUGCAGCCGCAGCUGCAUAGAGUACGGGAAAGAGCUGCAAGUCUUCUGGAGCUCAGGAAGGGUGCCCUCCUUUUGGGAUUUACCCAUCCUUCAAGAUUGACUCCACAGGAGGUAUUUAUGCAAGGACUGGGGCUGACCCCACUGAGAAGGAUUUAAUGCAUCCUCUCAACAAAAGACCUUCCCCAAGCAGCCUUUUUCAACGACAGGAGGCUGGUCAGAGAUCCUGCCAUCUGGGCUGUUAGCAGAUCUCAGUGUCUGAAACAAGCAGGCUUCUCAGGGAAACUUCAACCAGGCAUUGUUUUUCACAGAAGGCUCACGUUUGACAGGAAGAGUAUGUAAGUUCCAGGAGCACAGGGUUGGGUUCCAGGGUCAGGACAAGAAGCAGGGCACCCAGAAGAGCAAAAGGGACCGAACGCUGCAGCCCCGUUAUGUUCCCGACCCUCAGAGGGAUAGACCCUUCCCUGCUGCGGCUUUUAGCUCCCACCAGGUGGGAAUGUGCUGGGCAGGGAACAAAGACUGUCUGUUCAAAUUGUCCCCAAACCCAGCUCUGAGCACAUUUCCUGAUUUGGAGGGAGGACGGGAGGAGGUGCUUCCACUGCAGGACUUGAUCUGGAAGGCUGCUUUGGACCUCCUGACUUAUCCGGCCCAGGCGGCUUUGAAAACGCCAAGUUCUCACCAGGAAUUACCAGCUGACUCAGUCAUAGGGUUCUGGACAGCUUAGGAUCCUCCGACCCUCGAUUUCUUGAUUUCAGCAGGAAGAUGGUUCUUUUGUUACCCUUCUCUAAAAGAAUGGAAAAUGUAAUACUGCGUUUCCAUGGAGGCCUCUAAAGAAAGAUCAUUCUCCUUUAGAAGAGCAUCCAAGAAAUUAUACUCAAAACAAAUCUUCUUUUGGCAGGACACCAUUUAAUCAGCUGAAAGAUAUUUAUACCUGUGCUUAUAAUUCUAUGGCUUGUCGUGGGAAGGGAGAAGAGGAAGUUAGGAAUCAAAUGCUCCCUCAUUUUUCGGAGGAAUGAUUGGAAGACUCUGGGAAAACAUCCUAAAUUGUUAGGUUUGAUAUUCAGCCAUCUUAAGUUCACUAGAAACAGUAGUUUUCUUGUUAAUAAAAAUAACCAUAAAAAUAGAAUAACAACAGGUAAGGGCAGAGAUCAUGUCAAUUAACUGUGAGGAUGUAUUUGGUCCCUCUGUUAAUCAGACUGAUAAAACAGUCCAUAGAGCAGUUGCCUUAGUAGGAA